This is a long non-coding RNA of Triticum dicoccoides, 474 nucleotides long. RefSeq lists it as uncharacterized. The transcript has 5 exons. NCBI's taxonomy places the organism in Eukaryota, Viridiplantae, Streptophyta, Magnoliopsida, Poales, Poaceae. The record is from RefSeq and is a predicted model, not a curated record.
AUUGUUUCUCGAUUUCACGCCACUUCUUCUCCACCGCACCCUUGCUCAGGCAUCAACAGCUUGUUGCCAUGGUUUGAAUCACACAUGUUCAGUUGAAUGGAUAUCUAAGAGGACCAAGGUGAUGUUGUUGUGAGAUAUUUGCAAAGGGAGUUUGUGACGUACUGUCAACUCGGUACAUUCAGCGUGUGUGUUCAGGUUCUUUGACACGCUUGGGAUCGACGGAUCGUUCAUGCCAUGGUUGGAUUUGAAUGGGGGCAGCCGUUUGAAAUCUAAUUCAGAAGAUACACAACCUAAGAUCGAAAUAUUCCUACCUGAACCAAAGGGUUCUACUGUUUGUGACGUGCUUCUUGUUGAUCAUCUGCUGCUUUGGCACGUCAAGGGCCAAUGCUGGUGUCAGGACCACUGCGAUCACAAACAAAGCCAAGUAGCUGCUGCUCCGCUCUCUACUGAAGAAGCAUUUGUAGAUAACGUAAG